RNAcentral lists this ribosomal RNA (400 nucleotides) under uncultured bacterium. Its description in RNAcentral is "bacterial SSU rRNA". It matches the Rfam family "Bacterial small subunit ribosomal RNA", at positions 355 to 770 of the family's 1533-position model. The record is from RNAcentral.
UGGGGAAUAUUGCACAAUGGGGGAAACCCUGAUGCAGCGACGCCGCGUGAGCGAAGAAGUAUUUCGGUAUGUAAAGCUCUAUCAGCAGGGAAGAAGAAAUGACGGUACCUGACUAAGAAGCACCGGCUAAAUACGUGCCAGCAGCCGCGGUAAUACGUAUGGUGCAAGCGUUAUCCGGAUUUACUGGGUGUAAAGGGAGCGCAGGCGGAAGGCUAAGUCUGAUGUGAAAGCCCGGGGCUCAACCCCGGUACUGCAUUGGAAACUGGUCAUCUAGAGUGUCGGAGGGGUAAGUGGAAUUCCUAGUGUAGCGGUGAAAUGCGUAGAUAUUAGGAGGAACACCAGUGGCGAAGGCGGCUUACUGGACGAUAACUGACGCUGAGGCUCGAAAGCGUGGGGAGCA